CAACUCAGACUCUCAACAAGUCUCCUCCUACUGACUGCAGAGCUGCUGCAGAGAACUGCUGGACUCCAGCUGUGUGAGAACAUCAGGACAAACAUCCUCAUCUAAUUCAGCCUCAACAUCACUUCCAACAUUUCACCUGUGGAAACAUGGAAACACUGGCUGUGAUUUGCUUCUUCUCAGCUCUUGUAGGUCAGAGCUUGGAAGCUGAUAUUACUGCCAUCAGAUCUGAAGUGUUUUCAUCAGAGGGACCCAGAGUUACUCUGUCCUGUAACUAUUCAGUCAAAGCUAACAACCUCCAGUGGUAUCGACAAGAUCCUGGAUCAGCGCCUCAGUUCCUUCUGCUGAUCACUGAUACUAAAGAUCCAUCUGUGGUGAAAGCAGAACCUCCAAACCCUCGACUGACUGCAGAACUGAACAAGCAGAGGAACCAAGUGGACCUGCUGAUCUCCUCUGCUGCAGUGACAGACUCUGCUGUGUACUACUGUGCUCUGCAGCCCACAGUGACAGGAAACACCAGAACUCUGUACAAGAACCUGCAAUACUCCACAACAUCCACUAGAGGGCCUCACACACUGUUCCACCUCUCUGGUUUGUUAGGAUUCAGCUGAGA
Molecule: non-coding RNA, 610 nt
Organism: Girardinichthys multiradiatus
Lineage: Eukaryota; Metazoa; Chordata; Actinopteri; Cyprinodontiformes; Goodeidae
Source: the annotation of a RefSeq genome assembly